This 372-nucleotide ribosomal RNA is filed under the name uncultured bacterium. RNAcentral's name for it is "bacterial SSU rRNA". It matches the Rfam family "Bacterial small subunit ribosomal RNA", at positions 525 to 896 of the family's 1533-position model. The record is from RNAcentral.
ACGGAGGGUGCAAGCGUUGUUCGGAAUUACUGGGCGUAAAGGGCGCGUAGGUGGUUGUGUAAGUCAGAUGUGAAAUCCCGAGGCUCAACCUCGGAACUGCAUCUGAUACUGCAUGACUCGAGUGCAGCAGAGGGAAACGGAAUUCCUGGUGUAGAGGUGAAAUUCGUAGAUAUCAGGAGGAACACCGGUGGCGAAGGCGGUUUCCUGGGCUGACACUGACACUGAGGCGCGAAAGCGUGGGUAGCAAACAGGAUUAGAUACCCUGGUAGUCCACGCUGUAAACGGUGAAUACUGGGUGUGGGAGGUGUAAUGCCUUCUGUGCCGAAGCUAACGCGUUAAGUAUUCCGCCUGGGGAGUACGGCCGCAAGGUUG